UCGAGGAUCUUCCGCAAUGGGCGAAAGCCUGACGGAGCGACACCGCGUACAGGAUGAAGGCCUUCGGGUUGUAAACUGUUGUCACGCUAUAGGAACCCCUUGGUGUUAAUAGCGCCAAGGCUGACUAAAGCGAGAGGAAGCAACGGCUAACUCUGUGCCAGCAGCCGCGGUAAGACAGAGGGUGCAAGCGUUGCUCGGAAUCAUUGGGCGUAAAGGGUGCGUAGGCGGUCUCUUAAGUCUGACGUGAAAGUCCAGGGCCCACCCUUGGAAGUGCGCCAGAAACUGGAAGACUAGAGUACCGGAGGGGAGAGUGGAAUUCCUGGUGUAGCGGUGAAAUGCGUAGAUAUCAGGAGGAAUACCGGUGGCGAAAGCGACUCUCUGGACGGUAACUGACGCUGAGGCACGAAAGCGUGGGGAGCAAACAGGAUUAGAUACCCUCGUAGUCCCUGAGCGGGCUGGCAAGGCGCAU
This 469-nucleotide ribosomal RNA is filed under the name uncultured bacterium. Its description in RNAcentral is "bacterial SSU rRNA". It matches the Rfam family "Bacterial small subunit ribosomal RNA", at positions 355 to 825 of the family's 1533-position model. The record is from RNAcentral.